This is a non-coding RNA of Pelobates cultripes (western spadefoot toad), 428 nucleotides long. NCBI's taxonomy places the organism in Eukaryota, Metazoa, Chordata, Amphibia, Anura, Pelobatidae. The record is from the annotation of a GenBank genome assembly.
UAAUAAUAAUAUAGUCGUUAUCUAAUUGUUAUACCAAUGAAACAUAAUUUUUUUAAAAACCCAACUAGAGGAAUGUACAUCGAGAUGAUUUAUCCCCCCCCUUUUUUAAAAUUCAGUUCAGUCUGGGUAAGCAGAAUAAUGUAUGCCUUACUGCCUCAAAACUUUAAGAGUUGGUCUCAACUUCUAGAUAUCCCCUUCACCCCUCAAUCAAAAAGAAAUAAAUAAAAUAAAUUGUGAAAUGUGUUCUAACAGAUGAGAACAUCUGUGUAGGGCUAAGUAGAAUAUUAACACUAAGGGUUAAUUCUUUACUUCCUCACCAGUGAGAGGAAAUGUCUCUGCUCUGCAUGUCACUCCUGCUUUUAUUACAUAACAUAAAAGAACACAGUGAGCUGGACACAGAGGAUAGUGGGGAACACAGUUAAACUUAU